RNAcentral lists this ribosomal RNA (460 nucleotides) under uncultured bacterium. RNAcentral describes it as "partial 16S ribosomal RNA". It matches the Rfam family "Bacterial small subunit ribosomal RNA", at positions 338 to 795 of the family's 1533-position model. The record is from RNAcentral.
CCUACGGGCGGCAGCAGUGAGGAAUAUUGGUCAAUGGACGAGAGUCUGAACCAGCCAAGUAGCGUGAAGGAUGACUGCCCUAUGUGUUGUAAACUUCUUUUAUAAAGGAAUAAAACGAGGCACGUGUGCCUUUUUGCAUGUACUUUAUGAAUAAGGAUCGGCUAACUCCGUGCCAGCCGCCGCGGUAAUACGGAGGAUCCGAGCGUUAUCCGGAUUUAUUGGGUUUAAAGGAAGCGUAGAUGGGUUGUUAAGUCAGUUGUGAAAGUUUGCGGCUCAACCGUAAAAUUGCAAUUGAUACUGGCAGUCUUGAGUACAGUUGAGGUAGGCGGAAUUCGUGGUGUAGCGGUGAAAUGCUUAGAUAUCACGAAGAACCCCGAUUGCGAAGGCAGCUUACUAAACUGUGACUGACAUUGAUGCUCGAAAGUGUGGGUAUCAAACAGGAUUAGAUACCCUAGUAGUC